UAAUAAACUAAAACUUUCAACAACGGAUCUCUUGGUUCUGGCAUCGAUGAAGAACGCAGCGAAAUGCGAUAAGUAAUGUGAAUUGCAGAAUUCAGUGAAUCAUCGAAUCUUUGAACGCACAUUGCGCCCCUUGGUAUUCCGAGGGGCAUGCCUGUUCGAGCGUCAUUUCAACCCUCAAGCUCUGCUUGGUAUUGGGCUCCGUCCUCU
RNAcentral lists this ribosomal RNA (207 nucleotides) under Neofusicoccum luteum. RNAcentral describes it as "5.8S ribosomal RNA". The stretch from base 12 to 165 matches the Rfam family "5.8S ribosomal RNA". From Rfam's summary of the family: 5.8S ribosomal RNA (5.8S rRNA) is a component of the large subunit of the eukaryotic ribosome. It is transcribed by RNA polymerase I as part of the 45S precursor that also contains 18S and 28S rRNA. Lineage: Eukaryota; Fungi; Ascomycota; Dothideomycetes; Botryosphaeriales; Botryosphaeriaceae. The record is from RNAcentral. RNAcentral also lists the same sequence under 1 other name.